AUUGAACGCUGCGGCAGGCUUAAUACAUGCAAGUCGAGCGAGAGGCGGACGGGUGAGUAAUGAUUAGGAAUCUGCCUAUUCGUGGGGGACAAAAUAUCGAAAGGGAUGCUAAUAUCGCAUACUACUAGCUGAGACUAAGUGGGAUUAGCUAGUUGGUGGGGUAAAGGCCUACCAAGGCGACGAUCUGUAGCUGGUCUGAGAGGAUGACCAGCCACACGGGAACGGAGACACGGUCCAGACUCCUACGGGAGGCAGCAGUGGGGAAUAUUGCACAAUGGGCGCAAGCCUGAUACAGCCAUGCCGCGUGUGUGAAGAAGGUCUUCGGGUUGUAAAGCACUGUCAGCGGGGAGGCGUUACCCGCACAAGAAGCAACGGCUAACUCCGUGCCAGCAGCCGCGGUAAUUC
This 405-nucleotide ribosomal RNA is filed under the name uncultured bacterium. RNAcentral describes it as "partial 16S ribosomal RNA". It matches the Rfam family "Bacterial small subunit ribosomal RNA", at positions 30 to 526 of the family's 1533-position model. The record is from RNAcentral.